AUUGAACGCUGGCGGCAUGCUUUACACAUGCAAGUCGAACGGCAGCGCGGGCUUCGGCCUGGCGGCGAGUGGCGAACGGGUGAGUAAUGCAUCGGAACGUGCCCAGUAGUUGGGGAUAGCCCGGCGAAAGCCGGAUUAAUACCGCAUACGACCUGAGGGUGAAAGCGGGGGACCGAAAGGCCUCGCGCUAUUGGAGCGGCCGAUGUCGGAUUAGCUAGUUGGUGGGGUAAAGGCUUACCAAGGCGACGAUCCGUAGCUGGUCUGAGAGGACGACCAGCCACACUGGAACUGAGACACGGCCCAGACUCCUACGGGAGGCAGCAGUGGGGAAUUUUGGACAAUGGGGGCAACCCUGAUCCAGCCAUGCCGCGUGCGGGAAGAAGGCCUUCGGGUUGUAAACCGCUUUUGUUCGGGAAGAAAUCCUCUGGGCUAAUACCCCGGGGGGAUGACGGUACCGGAAGAAUAAGCACCGGCUAACUACGUG
Molecule: ribosomal RNA, 484 nt
Filed under: uncultured bacterium
Lineage: Bacteria
Description: partial 16S ribosomal RNA
Rfam family: Bacterial small subunit ribosomal RNA
Source: RNAcentral